Molecule: ribosomal RNA, 459 nt
Filed under: Veillonella parvula
Lineage: Bacteria; Bacillati; Bacillota; Negativicutes; Veillonellales; Veillonellaceae
Description: bacterial SSU rRNA
Rfam family: Bacterial small subunit ribosomal RNA
Source: RNAcentral
GGCGGCGUGCUUAACACAUGCAAGUCGAACGAAGAGCGAUGGAAGCUUGCUUCUAUCAACCUUAGUGGCGAACGGGUGAGUAACGCGUAAUCAACCUGCCCUUCAGAGGGGGACAACAGUGGAAACGACUGCUAAUACCGCAUACGAUCUAACCUCGGCAUCGAGGAAAGAUGAAAGGUGGCCUCUAUUUAUAAGCUAUCACUGAAGGAGGGGAUUGCGUCUGAUUAGCUAGUUGGAGGGGUAACGGCCCACCAAGGCGAUGAUCAGUAGCCGGUCUGAGAGGAUGAACGGCCACAUUGGGACUGAGACACGGCCCAGACUCCUACGGGAGGCAGCAGUGGGGAAUCUUCCGCAAUGGACGAAAGUCUGACGGAGCAACGCCGCGUGAGUGAUGACGGCCUUCGGGUUGUAAAGCUCUGUUAAUCGGGACGAAAGGCCUUCUUGCGAACAGUAGAAGGA